Molecule: ribosomal RNA, 377 nt
Filed under: uncultured Gammaproteobacteria bacterium
Lineage: Bacteria; Pseudomonadati; Pseudomonadota; Gammaproteobacteria
Description: bacterial SSU rRNA
Rfam family: Bacterial small subunit ribosomal RNA
Source: RNAcentral
UAAUACGGAGGGUACAAGCGUUAAUCGGAAUUACUGGGCGUAAAGCGCGCGUAGGCGGCUAAGUAAGUUGGAUGUGAAAGCCCCGGGCUCAACCUGGGAAUUGCAUUCAAAACUGCUUGGCUAGAGUGCGAGAGAGGAGAGUAGAAUUUCUGGUGUAGCGGUGAAAUGCGUAGAUAUCAGAAGGAAUACCAAUGGCGAAGGCAGCUCUCUGGCUCGUCACUGACGCUAAGGUGCGAAAGCGUGGGUAGCAAACAGGAUUAGAUACCCUGGUAGUCCACGCCGUAAACGAUGAGAACUAGUCGUUGGAGGGAAUUAACUCUUCAGUGGCGCAGCUAACGCAUUAAGUUCUCCGCCUGGGGACUACGGCCGCAAGGCUA